RNAcentral lists this ribosomal RNA (249 nucleotides) under uncultured bacterium. Its description in RNAcentral is "partial 16S ribosomal RNA". It matches the Rfam family "Bacterial small subunit ribosomal RNA", at positions 524 to 771 of the family's 1533-position model. The record is from RNAcentral.
UACAGAGGGUGCAAGCGUUAAUCGGAAUUACUGGGCGUAAAGCGUGCGUAGACGGUAGCGUAAGUCGGGUGUGAAAGCCCCGGGCUCAACCUGGGAAUGGCGAUGGAUACUGGCUCGCUAGAGUGCGGUAGAGGAGAGUGGAAUUCCCCGGUGUAGCAGUGAAAUGCGUAGAGAUCGGGAGGAACAUCAGUUGCGAAGGCGGCUCUCUGGACCAGCACUGACACUGAGGCACGAAAGCGUGGGGAGCAA